Molecule: transfer RNA, 87 nt
Filed under: Candidatus Omnitrophota bacterium
Lineage: Bacteria; Pseudomonadati; Candidatus Omnitrophota
Description: tRNA-Ser
Rfam family: tRNA
About the family: Transfer RNA (tRNA) molecules are approximately 80 nucleotides in length. Their secondary structure includes four short double-helical elements and three loops (D, anti-codon, and T loops). Further hydrogen bonds mediate the characteristic L-shaped molecular structure. tRNAs have two regions of fundamental functional importance: the anti-codon, which is responsible for specific mRNA codon recognition, and the 3' end, to which the tRNAs corresponding amino acid is attached (by aminoacyl-tRNA synthetases). tRNAs cope with the degeneracy of the genetic code in two manners: having more than one tRNA (with a specific anti-codon) for a particular amino acid; and 'wobble' base-pairing, i.e. permitting non-standard base-pairing at the 3rd anti-codon position.
Source: RNAcentral
GGAGGAGUGGCAGAGUGGUCGAAUGCGGCGGUCUUGAAAACCGUUGAGGCCGCAAGGUCUCCGAGGGUUCGAAUCCUUCCUCCUCCG